Molecule: long non-coding RNA, 989 nt
Organism: Lathyrus oleraceus (garden pea)
Lineage: Eukaryota; Viridiplantae; Streptophyta; Magnoliopsida; Fabales; Fabaceae
Exons: 2
Source: RefSeq, a predicted model, not a curated record
UGUGGGAUUGUUGCAACCAAAGUUUGGGCCUUAGUCCCAAACCCAAACACACGCCCAAGGACUCAAACUCGGUUCAACUAUGGCCUUCUAGUUCAGGUCAAGACUUCUUCAGCUCAAACAUAAUGUCGCGCCGAAUCUGGUUUUCCUCCAUUAAAACACCGGCUUAGCAUCUCACGCGAUGCAAAACAAACGAAACAGAGGUUCUCCAUCUCACGACCGUGAUUCUCCAAUCUUCAUCAUCUGAAACGAGCCUCCAAGUGUGCAUAUUCGAAGGCUCAACAUACUGCUUCAUCUUCAUGUCUUCAACCUUAUUUCAUGCUCGUGGGUUUAUGGAUUUUGAACGGGAACAAAAUUAAGAAAAAAGGCUCCAACAUCAAAUCACUUUUUGAAGUCCAAUAUCAACAACUCGAAUCAUCAUUGCGCGUGCAUGAAAAUGAAAAGAACAGGAAUCUAAGUCGAAGCGAGAACUUACCAGAUUGAGAUUUGUUGCAAACAAGAAUGGAGUACUCUUUCUCCUUUGUUUUGAUUUGGGAUGCUUCAAUCCAAUCUUCUUCUCCUUUUGUUCUUUGUAUGUUGAUGAGUGGUUGAGAAUUUGAUGCAGAGUGAGGUUGAGAGUUUGAUGUAGAGUGCUAUGAACUUAUGAAAUAUGCAGAAUGAUUCCUGAACCUUGAUGUCAUGGAGAUUCGGUUUGCACUAUGAGAUGGGAGCUGCAUAAUGUCCCUUGGAUUGCGUUGGAAGGAAAUGGUCAUGAAGAAAAAGUGGUUGAAUAAUGGAUGUGUUUCCAUGGGUUAUGCAUCCGAUUUGAGGAAAAUUGUAGAUUAGGAAUUAGAACUAUUAGAACUAGGUCACAUGUUAAGUAGUACUUGUUUUUUUUUUUUAAUUUGCUCAUUUGUAAAGUGUAACGGUAUUAACAUGGGUUAUGUACUUUGAAUCUUGAAUUUGAACUAGAUGUUGGAAAUUGAAAGAAAAGAAAAGUCCUUGAAUGUUUA